CAGAGCAAGAUACUGCCAGAAAAGAUCUUACUUCUUGGUGAGCUUCCAGGGAUACUAUCAUCUCUAAAAGAGGCCCUGGAGUCCAUGAAACGAGGUUCAUUCAGCUCAAGCCCAAGAUCAUCUGAGCUGUCUUCCUGAAACCUCAGACAUGAUUUCCCUCGGUGGUUCUGAUGUCCCCAAAAGAGUCUAUGGCAGACUGAACAAGUCACGAACUUCUCUUUUUACUCACGACUUGGCCACUUUACUUUUUGCUAUUGUAUUUCACUUUGUUUGACUUAAAGGAUUAGUUCACUUAAAAAAAAAAAAAAACUUUUGCUGAUAACUUACCCACCC
Molecule: non-coding RNA, 333 nt
Organism: Pimephales promelas (fathead minnow)
Lineage: Eukaryota; Metazoa; Chordata; Actinopteri; Cypriniformes; Leuciscidae
Source: RefSeq, a predicted model, not a curated record